CCUACGGGCGGCAGCAGUGGGGAAUAUUGGACAAUGGGCGAAAGCCUGAUCCAGCCAUGCCGCGUGUGUGAAGAAGGCCUUCGGGUUGUAAAGCACUUUCAGUGGGGAAGAAAGCCUUGGGGCUAAUACCCUCGAGGAAGGACAUCACCCACAGAAGAAGCACCGGCUAACUCCGUGCCAGCAGCCGCGGUAAUACGGAGGGUGCGAGCGUUAAUCGGAAUUACUGGACGUAAAGCGCGCGUAGGCGGUCUGAUAAGCCGGUUGUGAAAGCCCCGGGCUCAACCUGGGAACGGCAUCCGGAACUGUCAGGCUAGAGUGCAGGAGAGGAAGGUAGAAUUACCGGUGUAGCGGUGAAAUGCGUAGAGAUCGGGAAGAAUACCAGUGGCGAAGGCGGCCUUCUGGACUGUCACUGACGCUGAGGUGCGAAAGCGUGGGUAGCAAACAGGAUUAGAUACCCCAGUAGUC
RNAcentral lists this ribosomal RNA (465 nucleotides) under Vreelandella stevensii. RNAcentral describes it as "partial 16S ribosomal RNA". It matches the Rfam family "Bacterial small subunit ribosomal RNA", at positions 338 to 795 of the family's 1533-position model. Lineage: Bacteria; Pseudomonadati; Pseudomonadota; Gammaproteobacteria; Oceanospirillales; Halomonadaceae. The record is from RNAcentral.